UACGUAGGCAGCAAGCGUUGUUCGGAGUUACUGGGCGUAAAGGGUGCGUAGGCGGCUUUUUAAGUUUGGUGUGAAAUCUCCCGGCUCAACUGGGAGGGUGCGCCGAAUACUGAGAAGCUAGAGUGUGGGAGAGGAAAGUGGAAUUCCUGGUGUAGCGGUGAAAUGCGUAGAUAUCAGGAGGAACACCGGUGGUGUAAACGGCUUUCUGGACCAUAACUGACGCUGAUGCACGAAAGCUAGGGGAGCAAACAGG
Molecule: ribosomal RNA, 253 nt
Filed under: uncultured bacterium
Lineage: Bacteria
Description: partial 16S ribosomal RNA
Rfam family: Bacterial small subunit ribosomal RNA
Source: RNAcentral